UGAAAGUGGGAUAGCUUCUUCAUCCUAACUCCUAUGAGAUUUAUUCCACUUCCUAUUGAUUCUCCACUACUUUAUGUAUCAAAAUCAAGCUUUUUACAUGGGGAUUCUUCCUGUUUUGAUUAGAAUGACAAAGAAGUUGUCAUAUUCCCAAACAGGAAAACUGGGAUCACCUGAUUUGAAAGUGGGAUAGCUUCUUCAUCCUAACUCCUAUGAGAUUUAUUAA
Molecule: long non-coding RNA, 223 nt
Filed under: Brassica napus (rape)
Lineage: Eukaryota; Viridiplantae; Streptophyta; Magnoliopsida; Brassicales; Brassicaceae
Description: long non-coding RNA (BNAP_LNC018479)
Source: RNAcentral